AUGCACGCUGGCGGCGUGCCUCAUACCUGCAAGUCGCGCGCACAGACGAGGAGCUUGCUCCUCUGACGUUAGCGGCGGACGGGUGAGUAACACGUGGAUAACCUACCUAUAAGACUGGGAUAACUUCGGGAAACCGGAGCUAAUACCGGAUAAUAUAUUGAACCGCAUGGUUCAAUAGUGAAAGACGGUUUUGCUGUCACUUAUAGAUGGAUCCGCGCCGCAUUAGCUAGUUGGUAAGGUAACGGCUUACCAAGGCGACGAUGCGUAGCCGACCUGAGAGGGUGAUCGGCCACACUGGAACUGAGACACGGUCCAGACUCCUACGGGAGGCAGCAGUAGGGAAUCUUCCGCAAUGGGCGAAAGCCUGACGGAGCAACGCCGCGUGAGUGAUGAAGGUCUUCGGAUCGUAAAACUCUGUUAUUAGGGAAGAACAAAUGUGUAAGUAACUAUGCACGUCUUGACGGUACCUAAUCAGAAAGCCACGGCUAACUACGUG
Molecule: ribosomal RNA, 496 nt
Filed under: uncultured bacterium
Lineage: Bacteria
Description: partial 16S ribosomal RNA
Rfam family: Bacterial small subunit ribosomal RNA
Source: RNAcentral